GCCAGGUAUGGAGCACAUGUUUGUAGUCCCAGCUACUCGGGAGGCUGAGGCAGGAGGAUCCCUUGAGCCCAGGAGUUCUGGGGUGCUGUGCACUACGUCCAUUGGGUAUCUGCACUAAGUUCAGCAACAAUAUGGUAACCUCUUGGGAGCAGGGGACCACCAGGUUGCCUAAGAAGGGGUGAACUGGCCCAAAUCAGAAACAGAGCAGGUCAAAACUUCUGUGAUGAUCAGUAGUAGGACAGUGCCUAUGAAUAACCAUUGCACUCCAGCAAGGGCAACAUAGCAAGACACUGACA
RNAcentral lists this signal recognition particle RNA (296 nucleotides) under Prolemur simus (greater bamboo lemur). RNAcentral's name for it is "Metazoan signal recognition particle RNA (ENSPSMG00000017245.1)". It matches the Rfam family "Metazoan signal recognition particle RNA". From Rfam's summary of the family: The signal recognition particle (SRP) is a universally conserved ribonucleoprotein. It is involved in the co-translational targeting of proteins to membranes. The eukaryotic SRP consists of a 300-nucleotide 7S RNA and six proteins: SRPs 72, 68, 54, 19, 14, and 9. The record is from RNAcentral. Lineage: Eukaryota; Metazoa; Chordata; Mammalia; Primates; Lemuridae.